GGCAAUGACCACAUGAAUUAAAGAAAAAAAUUGAACCAAAAUGAGAAAAUUAUGUGAUGUAAUUCUCUUCUCUUGCUUUCUUCUCCUAACUUUUGUUGACGUUGAAGCAGAUUGUGAAGGCAGCUUAUUUGCCGUUAACAGCACUUACAGCGAAAACCUUAACUCUCUUUUCUCUUCUCUUGCAAGUAACGUCACCACUAAUGACGGCUUCUACAACACUUCAACCGGAGAAGGCUCCAACAAAGUUUACGGUCUUGCCCUUUGUGGACGAGGCUACAAGAAGCAAGCUUGUGUGAACUGCGUGGAGCAAGCGAUUCAAGAAUCACAACAAAGAUGUCCAAAUCGAAUGAAAUCUUUCAGGUGGACCACUAGAGACAAUGACAAUGCUUCUUGCCUUGUACGGUACGCUAAUCAUUCUGUUUCUGCGAAACUCGAGCUUUUCCCACCUACUUUAUCAGAUAAUCCUUUAAACAUAGAGGAACCUAAGAGCCUUAAGCUUUUUCGACGAGAAUGGGAAGCACUGACUAACCUAACAAUGCAGUCUGCUACUUCAGCUCCUGAAAAUUCAUCAGUUGUGCUCAAGUUCUAUAGCGUCGUAAGAGCAGAGUUCACAGAAUUUGCAAAUGUUUACAUGAUGAUGCAAUGCACUCCUGACAUUUUAUCUAAUGAGUGCAACAAAUGUCUUAGCCAGUGUGUGUUGAACUUUCAAAACAAUAAUUGGGGAAGCCAGGGCGGUGCAGGUCGGCUUCCGAGCUGUUACUUCCGGUGGGAUCUUUAUCCUAUUUGUGGAUCUUCUGAGAAUAUGACAAGAGUUUCUAUGAUUAGUCGUGCUACUACUCUCCCUCAAGGAGAUACGGUCUCACAACCUGAGUAUGACAAGAAAGGAAAAAGGAUUCGCAAUGGAACUAUAGCGAUAAUUGUUGUUCCUACGGUUAUUAACCUCUUCGUAUUUGUUGGUCUUUAAUUUUCAUCAUCUUUGAUCAAAGGAGAAAGGCCUAUAAUAAAAACAUCAACGAAUGCUUUGAUUCUGAUGGACAAUCUAUGUUGCGGUUUGAUCUUGGCAUGAUACUCUCUGCAACCAAUGAAUUUUCACCUGAAAAUAAACUUGGACAAGGUGGAUUUGGAACUGUCUAUAGGGGGAUUUUACCGAACGGACAGGAGAUAGCCGUGAAGAGAUUAGUAAGUGGUUCAGGACAAGGAGAUACAGAGUUUAAGAAUGAGGUCUCGCUCUUGACAAGACUCCAACAUAAGAACUUGGUUAAGCUUCUUGGGUUCUGUCAUGAAGGAGAUGAAGAGAUUCUUGUCUACGAGCUCGUGCCGAAUUCUAGUCUUGAUCAUUUUAUCUUUGAUAAGGAGAAGCGUUCACUUCUUACAUGGGAGGUGAGGUUCAAGAUUAUAGAAGGCGUUGCUCGAGGUCUACUUUAUCUCCAUGAAGAUUCGCAGUUGAAGAUUAUUCACCGAGACUUGAAGGCAAGCAACAUCCUUUUAGAUGCAGAGAUGAACCCUAAAGUUGCAGACUUUGGGACUGCGAGGUUGUUCGAAGCUGAUGAGACUCGAGCUGAAACAAGACGAAUAGCUGGAACCCGUGGAUAUAUGGCUCCGGAAUACCUGAAUCAUGGGCAAAUCUCCACUAAAUCGGACGUUUUUAGCUUUGGUGUUAUGCUUCUAGAGAUGAUUAGUGGUGAAAGAAACAAUAGCUUCGAAGGAGAAGGACUUGCAGCAUUUACAUGGAAGAGGUGGGUUGAAGGAAAGCCUGAGACCGUUAUUGAUCCUUUACUGAUGAAAAAUCCGAGAAACGAGAUCAUCAAGUUGAUCCAGAUUGGUUUAUUGUGCGUUCAGGAGAAUGCGGCAAAGAGACCAACCAUGAGCUCUGUAAUAGUUUGGUUUGGCAGUGAGACUAUCAUCAUUCCUUUACCUAGGGCUCCUGCUUUCACUAGGGAUCAAUCCCAAUCUGAAAAUAGUAAAAUGUCAAUGAACAAUGACAUAUUCACAGAGUUGAGUUGUCGUUGAAGUUAUAAAUAAGUUGAUCAUUAGGUGGCUGCAAGUGUGUUACUGCAUCUGAUUAGCGAUAAACAAAAUGAUUUAUCUCUUAUUACCUAGCUGGUGCAGUAGUACUAAGCUUAAUUCUCUCAAAUUCUCCAUCAGGUUUACAUGCCGAGCAAGAAAAGCGCUGACUUAGCAAUUUCGUUUGUAAUAUUCUUUGAAGAAUUCUGAAAUCAAAUUUGCUUUUUUUUUCUAAGAUAGAAUGAUUAAUCUGAUUAUUUCCGGAUGUAAUUACAUCAUGGUCUGUUCCAAACUCAUAUAUUUAGAGGUGUCAGACAGGUCAACCCGCGUCCACGUGAAACAUUCCGCAGCAGGCUCAUUUUCUUCUCAGACACAAAGUAUUUGUCCAAACCCAACCCGCAUUGUCCACUUGGUUUGCAGGUCAAC
RNA transcript from Brassica oleracea var. oleracea, 2430 nucleotides. It is a transcript of the gene named putative cysteine-rich receptor-like protein kinase 39, with no coding region annotated. NCBI's taxonomy places the organism in Eukaryota, Viridiplantae, Streptophyta, Magnoliopsida, Brassicales, Brassicaceae. The record is from RefSeq and is a predicted model, not a curated record. The transcript is spliced from 7 exons.